RNAcentral lists this ribosomal RNA (763 nucleotides) under uncultured bacterium. RNAcentral's name for it is "bacterial SSU rRNA". It matches the Rfam family "Bacterial small subunit ribosomal RNA", at positions 147 to 922 of the family's 1533-position model. The record is from RNAcentral.
CCUCGGGAAACCGUGGCUAAUACCGGAUACGAAACGGAGCUGCAUGGCUGCCGUUUGGAAAGUUUUUCGGUUUGGGAUGGACUCGCGGCCUAUCAGCUUGUUGGUGAGGUAAUGGCUCACCAAGGCGACGACGGGUAGCCGGCCUGAGAGGGCGAUCGGCCACACUGGGACUGAGACACGGCCCAGACUCCUACGGGAGGCAGCAGUGGGGAAUAUUGCACAAUGGGCGAAAGCCUGAUGCAGCGACGCCGCGUGAGGGAUGACGGCCUUCGGGUUGUAAACCUCUUUCAGCAGGGAAGAAGCGAAAGUGACGGUACCUGCAGAAGAAGCACCGGCUAACUACGUGCCAGCAGCCGCGGUAAUACGUAGGGUGCGAGCGUUGUCCGGAAUUAUUGGGCGUAAAGAGCUUGUAGGCGGUUUGUCGCGUCUGCUGUGAAAAUCCGGGGCUCAACCCCGGACUUGCAGUGGGUACGGGCAGACUAGAGUGUGGUAGGGGAGACUGGAAUUCCUGGUGUAGCGGUGAAAUGCGCAGAUAUCAGGAGGAACACCGAUGGCGAAGGCAGGUCUCUGGGCCACUACUGACGCUGAGAAGCGAAAGCAUGGGGAGCGAACAGGAUUAGAUACCCUGGUAGUCCAUGCCGUAAACGUUGGGAACUAGGUGUGGGUCUCAUUCCACGAGAUCCGUGCCGCAGCUAACGCAUUAAGUUCCCCGCCUGGGGAGUACGGCCGCAAGGCUAAAACUCAAAGGAAUUGACGGAAUCGA